Molecule: ribosomal RNA, 497 nt
Filed under: uncultured bacterium
Lineage: Bacteria
Description: partial 16S ribosomal RNA
Rfam family: Bacterial small subunit ribosomal RNA
Source: RNAcentral
GAUGAACGCUGGCGGCGUGCCUAAUACAUGCAAGUCGAGCGAACGGACGAGAAGCUUGCUUCUCUGAUGUUAGCGGCGGACGGGUGAGUAACACGUGGAUAACCUACCUAUAAGACUGGGAUAACUUCGGGAAACCGGAGCUAAUACCGGAUGAUCUUUUGAACCGCAUGGUUCAAAAGUGAAAGACGGUCUUGCUGUCACUUAUAGAUGGAUCCGCGCUGCAUUAGCUAGUUGGUAAGGUAACGGCUUACCAAGGCAACGAUGCAUAGCCGACCUGAGAGGGUGAUCGGCCACACUGGAACUGAGACACGGACCAGACUCCUACGGGAGGCAGCAGUAGGGAAUCUGCCGCAAUGGGCGAAAGCCUGACGGAGCAACGCCGCGUGAGUGAUGAAGGUCUUCGGAUCGUAAAACUCUGUUAUUAGGGAAGAACAGAUGUGUAAGUAACUGUGCACAUCUUGACGGUACCUAAUCAGAAAGCCACGGCUAACUACGUG